GAUGAACGCUGGCGGCGUGCCUAAUACAUGCAAGUCGAGCGAACAGACGAGGAGCUUGCUCCUCUGACGUUAGCGGCGGACGGGUGAGUAACACGUGGAUAACCUACCUAUAAGACUGGGAUAACUUCGGGAAACCGGAGCUAAUACCGGAUAAUAUAUUGAACCGCAUGGUUCAAUAGUGAAAGACGGUUUUGCUGUCACUUAUAGAUGGAUCCGCGCCGCAUUAGCUAGUUGGUAAGGUAACGGCUUACCAAGGCGACGAUGCGUAGCCGACCUGAGAGGGUGAUCGGCCACACUGGAACUGAGACACGGUCCAGAGUCCUACGGGAGGCAGCAGUAGGGAAUCUUCCGCAAUGGGCGGAAGCCUGACGGAGCAACGCCGCGUGAGUGAUGAAGGUCUUCGGAUCGUAAAACUCUGUUAUUAGGGAAGAACAAAUGUGUAAGUAACUAUGCACGUCUUGACGGUACCUAAUCAGAAAGCCACGGCUAACUACGUG
This 497-nucleotide ribosomal RNA is filed under the name uncultured bacterium. RNAcentral's name for it is "partial 16S ribosomal RNA". It matches the Rfam family "Bacterial small subunit ribosomal RNA", at positions 28 to 507 of the family's 1533-position model. The record is from RNAcentral.